RNAcentral lists this ribosomal RNA (504 nucleotides) under Mniovelia kuscheli. RNAcentral's name for it is "eukaryotic LSU rRNA". It matches the Rfam family "Eukaryotic large subunit ribosomal RNA", at positions 670 to 1139 of the family's 3401-position model. The record is from RNAcentral. Lineage: Eukaryota; Metazoa; Arthropoda; Insecta; Hemiptera; Mesoveliidae.
GGAGUCUAACGUGUGCGCGAGUCAUUGGGUGUAAAACCUAAAGGCGCAAUGAAAGUGAAGGGGAGCUUGGCUCCCCGAGGGAGGAUGGGCCGGUCCUCGCGGCCGGUCCCGCACUCCCGGGGCGUUUUUGGCUCAUUGCGAGCGGAGACGCACCCAGAGCGUACGCGCUGGGACCCGAAAGAUGGUGAACUAUGCCUGGCCAGGACGAAGCCAGGGGAAACCCUGGUGGAGGUCCGUAGCGAUUCUGACGUGCAAAUCGAUCGUAAGAGCUGUGUAUAGGGGCGAAAGACCAAUCGAACCAUCUAGUAGCUGGUUCCCUCCGAAGUUUCCCUCAGGAUAGCUGGCGUUCAUGUGAGACGAGUCUCAGCUGGUAAAGCGAAUGAUUAGAGGCCUUGGGGUCGAAACGACCUCAACCUAUUCUCAAACUUUAAAUAGCUGAGAACCCCGGCUUGCUUAACGGUGAAGCCGCGGGGUCGGAUCCGAAUGCCAAGUGGGCCAAUUUUG